CAGUCGAACGAUGAUGCCCAGCUUGCUGGGUGGAUUAGUGGCGAACGGGUGAGUAACACGUGAGUAACCUGCCCCUGACUCUGGGAUAAGCGUUGGAAACGACGUCUAAUACUGGAUAUGAUCACUGGCCGCAUGGUCUGGUGGUGGAAAGAUUUUUUGGUUGGGGAUGGACUCGCGGCCUAUCAGCUUGUUGGUGAGGUAAUGGCUCACCAAGGCGACGACGGGUAGCCGGCCUGAGAGGGUGACCGGCCACACUGGGACUGAGACACGGCCCAGACUCCUACGGGAGGCAGCAGUGGGGAAUAUUGCACAAUGGGCGAAAGCCUGAUGCAGCAACGCCGCGUGAGGGAUGACGGCCUUCGGGUUGUAAACCUCUUUUAGUAGGGAAGAAGCGAAAGUGACGGUACCUGCAGAAAAAGCACCGGCUAACUACGUGCCAGCAGCCGCGGUAAUACGUAGGGUGCAAGCGUUGUCCGGAAUUAUUGGGCGUAAAGAGCUCGUAGGCGGUUUGUCGCGUCUGCUGUGAAAUCCCGAGGCUCAACCUCGGGCUUGCAGUGGGUACGGGCAGACUAGAGUGCGGUAGGGGAGAUUGGAAUUCCUGGUGUAGCGGUGGAAUGCGCAGAUAUCAGGAGGAACACCGAUGGCGAAGGCAGAUCUCUGGGCCGUAACUGACGCUGAGGAGCGAAAGCAUGGGGAGCGAACAGGAUUAGAUACCCUGGUAGUCCAUGCCGUAAACGUUGGGCGCUAGAUGUAGGGACCUUUCCACGGUUUCUGUGUCGUAGCUAACGCAUUAAGCGCCCCGCCUGGGGAGUACGGCCGCAAGGCUAAAACUCAAAGGAAUUGACGGGGGCCCGCACAAGCGGCGGAGCAUGCGGAUUAAUUCGAUGCAACGCGAAGAACCUUACCAAGGCUUGACAUACACCGGAAACGGCCAGAGAUGGUCGCCCCCUUGUGGUCGGUGUACAGGUGGUGCAUGGUUGUCGUCAGCUCGUGUCGUGAGAUGUUGGGUUAAGUCCCGCAACGAGCGCAACCCUCGUUCUAUGUUGCCAGCGGGUUAUGCCGGGGACUCAUAGGAGACUGCCGGGGUCAACUCGGAGGAAGGUGGGGAUGACGUCAAAUCAUCAUGCCCCUUAUGUCUUGGGCUUCACGCAUGCUACAAUGGCCGGUACAAAGGGCUGCGAUACCGUAAGGUGGAGCGAAUCCCAAAAAGCCGGUCUCAGUUCGGAUUGAGGUCUGCAACUCGACCUCAUGAAGUCGGAGUCGCUAGUAAUCGCAGAUCAGCAACGCUGCGGUGAAUACGUUCCCGGGCCUUGUACACACCGCCCGUCAAGUCAUGAAAGUCGGUAACACCCGAAGCCGGUGGCCUAACCC
RNAcentral lists this ribosomal RNA (1371 nucleotides) under Curtobacterium flaccumfaciens. RNAcentral describes it as "partial 16S ribosomal RNA". It matches the Rfam family "Bacterial small subunit ribosomal RNA". Lineage: Bacteria; Bacillati; Actinomycetota; Actinomycetes; Micrococcales; Microbacteriaceae. RNAcentral also lists the same sequence under 1 other name. The record is from RNAcentral.